This 3062-nucleotide long non-coding RNA is filed under the name Sus scrofa (pig). RNAcentral describes it as "lncRNA (ENSSSCG00035062937.1)". The record is from RNAcentral. Lineage: Eukaryota; Metazoa; Chordata; Mammalia; Artiodactyla; Suidae.
AGAUCUAUCUUCCUCUGUGGUGUAUAUAGUAAGGAGAUGGCUCAUGCUCAUAGCUGUGAUGGUUCUUCUUCUUCUUCUUCUUUUUUUGGGCCACCCCUAAGCGUGUGGUGUUCCCUGGCCAAGGACGAGAUCUGAGCCACAGUUGCAAGCUACUUCACAGCUUUGGCAAUGCCAGAUCCUUAACUCACUGUGCCGGGUCAGGGAUUGGACCUAUGUCCCAGUGCUGCAGAGAUGCCACUAAUCCCCUUGUGCCACAGAAGAAACGUCAGAAGAUAUUCGUGGAGUUCCUUGAUGGUGCAGCUGAUUAAGGAUCCACUCUUGUCACUCCUGUGGCUCAGGUGAUGCCACGGCUAGCCACGGAUAUCUGUGAGGAGUAACCCAUGCGCUUCCUCGCAUCAGUGAACACUGCUCAGGGAGUGUAGAAGGAGGGCGGGGGAGCUGAGCCCACCUACCAGCUCAUCACGCAUCUUACACACUCACUCAUCCGGAUCCGCAUUUUUCUCUGCAUUUUACUAAUUUAAUCCUCACUGCAGUGUUUCGCUGUUGGGUACAUCUCCAUCACGGACUUCAGCACGGCCUACACUUCUAGGAUUUACCGGGACCGCAAGGUCCCAUGCGCCCCCUCUCCUGGGAGAUGCUCUAGGAUUUGGGAUAAAAGUCAGACCUCACCGGUUUAUACCCCUCCUCGGCCCCGAAGCCUUCUCACUCUCCCUCUUCGUGUUGGGCCCAGUGCCAGGGAGACGCAGCCCCGCUGUUCCUGGAGAGUCUGGAUCAAAACCAGGGUGGGAGUCACCUCUUCUUCUAGCAAUGACUCCCCUCCCAGGCUUAAAAGCAUCAUCUAAAUUAAGCCGGAGGGGAGGGGCCAUCUGCUACUACAUUCUGUGUGUGGUCCCCUGCUGAAGCAUUUCCAGGAUCACUGAACUCCUGGGUGACAACAGGGACAGGACACCCCUGGCUUCACCUGAGGUGCUGGUGCUCUCACACAGGUAGGUCUUUGAAUCUAAGCAGUCAGCCCGCUAACCCUCACAGCCUCCCUGUCUCAUGGGAGCAUCUAUACAAACAGGGGUCCCUCCUGACCCUCCCACUCACUCCUCAGGAUUCAACACAUCUAGCUAGGCCUCCCUACCUUGGAUCCUCUGAAAUAGCAGAAUAAAUAUAAAAACACAUACUUAGAAGCCUGGAAAAUUAGAAAAUGUGCCAUCAGCAGAACAGAACAUGAGGGAAUUUCCAAGAGAGAAAGAAGCUGAGAUCAGAUUAAUGAUGAAACUCAAUAUCCAUUGCUGAGGAGCCGGCAAAGCUGGAGCCUUAUCUGGAAGUGAGGACCCGGUUUGCCCCCCAGAAUAAAGUCAGGGUGUAGCUGUAAAACAAGACAGAGAGCCGCAAGUGAUUGCUCCAUAGAAAUCAAAGCAAGGGCUCUGCUCAGCAACUGCAGCCAAAAUGAAGAGAGAGUGUCCCCAAAGCAGAGCCCAUGAAGGUGCUUGCCCUGGCUCAUCCCGCCUGUCUCCAUGUGCCUGGGGUUAGGGGUGCAGGGUUGCCAUGAUCAAUCGAAGUGGACAGUCCCUUCAGAAGGAAGGUUUACUUGUGUUACACAGCAAGAGUGAUCCGUCAAGACCACUGUUCCCAAGGAUGCUACACUCAGGACCCCCUUGCCAUCUAAAAAAUGCUUAAGGGCCCCACAGAGCUUUGAUUUCUAUGGAGCAAACCUACUGAUACAUAAUAGAAGUGAAAAAGAAGAAACAAAUUUUAAUAUUUAUACAUUUAUUUUAAAAUGAUAAAGCAUCACGUAAACAAAAAUAAUAUUUCUGAAAAUAGCUAUUUUUUUCUAAAAAUUGUUUAUUUAGUGAGAAGAGUGACAUUGUUUUAUAUUUUUAUAAAUCUCACCAAUGUCUGGCUUAAUAGACAGCUGCAUUUUCAUAUUUGCUUCUGAUUGCAAUCUGUUAUGAUAUCACACAUCAUGUAGACUCUGGAAAACUCUGCUGAGCACUCAUGAAAGAAAAAUGUCUUUGUAUUCCUAUUAGGUAGUUUUGAGUUUGUGGGUUCCUCUGAAAGAGUCUUAGGAACCCCCAGGGUCCAAGAGCCACACUUGAGAACCACUGUCCUGAGAUUCAUUUACAAAUGGGAUCAGACAAUCAAGAAUCCCUGUGUAUUUGAAAGAAAUCAACUGCUUGCUAAAGAAAUCAGACAAAGAGCUUCCAUUCUGGUUCAGUGGGUUAAGAAUCUGGCGUUGCUGCAGCUGUGGUUUGGUUUCAAUCCCUGGCCUGGUAACUUCCAUAUGCUGCAGGUACAACCAUAAAAAAAAGAGAAGGUGAAGGAAAAGAAGAGCCAGACAGACCCUGAAGAAAACAGGGUAAUGCAGGAACCAGAGAUUAUGUUAAAAUAAGUAUAAUUAAUAUCUUUUGAGAGGUUCAACCAGAUACAUUAGAACCAGUCAGAUGAUGAGUAGACACAGAAAACACACAAAAAUCAGUACUUUUUCCUAUAGACGUUAAUCACCAGGUAAGAGAUGGUAUUUGUAGUGGCAACAAAAAUCAUAAACAAUCCUGGUGGCUCAAUGGAUUAUGGAUACAGCACUGUCACUGUGGUGGCUCGGGUCACUGCAGUGGCAUGGAUUCUAUCCCUGGCCCUGGAACUUCUGUAUGCCAUGGGUAUGGACCCCCCUAAUAACAAAUAAUCCAGGUAUAAACCAAUUCUGGAAGACCUACAUAAACAGAGGCUUUAUAUUGUAUUAAAGAACAAAUAUGAGAGAUGUAUUUAUUAUGCUUCUUGCAAGAAGUCUCAGUAUUAUAAAAAUACUAUUAUAUUAUAUUUAUAGUUAUAAAAUACUGUUAGAUUUAUAUGAGUAGUUACAUGAGUUGCUCAGUAAACACCCCUCUGAAUUUAACUGGGUUAAGCUGGAUUUUUGUCAUGUGCAUCAAGAGCUGUACCUCAGAGGGAGUUCCCUGAUGGCCUAGUGAUUAAGGAUUCAGCAUUGUCACUGCUGUGCUCAAGUUCGAUCUCUGGCUCAGGAGCUUCUGCAUACUGUGUGUGGCAGGGACAAGCAAAAAUUAAAAAUAAAAAAAAAA